CCCUAUUAUAUAAAAAGGUAGUUGAAAUUAUUAUAGGAUGAAAUUUAAAAAUUUUGGCGGUUUAUUAAUUGGGUUAGAGGAGCUUGUUAAUUAGAAUUUACUCUUUAGAUUUUAUUAAUUUUAAAAGUUUAUUUAUCUCCGUUAUUAAAUCUUGAUUUUUAAUGUAUUUAGUAAGUAUUUCAGGUCAAGAUGUAGCUAAAUUGAGAAUAAAUUAGCUACAAUUAUAAAAUAGAUGGAUUAUAAAAAGUAAAAUUUAUGGUGAAAUUGAAUUUAAUUGUAAUAUUUUUUAGAAAAGAAAUAUGAAUAAUUUAUAAUAAAUGUA
This 322-nucleotide ribosomal RNA is filed under the name Pseudopachylus alticola. RNAcentral's name for it is "partial 12S ribosomal RNA". Lineage: Eukaryota; Metazoa; Arthropoda; Arachnida; Opiliones; Gonyleptidae. The record is from RNAcentral.